UUUAGAUGGCGACCGGCGCACGGGUGAGUAACACGUAUCCAACCUGCCGAUGACUCGGGGAUAGCCUUUCGAAAGAAAGAUUAAUACCCGAUGGCAUAGUUCUUCCGCAUGGUAGAACUAUUAAAGAAUUUCGGUCAUCGAUGGGGAUGCGUUCCAUUAGGUUGUUGGCGGGGUAACGGCCCGCCAAGCCUUCGAUGGAUAGGGGUUCUGAGAGGAAGGUCCCCCACAUUGGAACUGAGACACGGUCCAA
RNAcentral lists this ribosomal RNA (250 nucleotides) under uncultured bacterium. RNAcentral's name for it is "partial 16S ribosomal RNA". It matches the Rfam family "Bacterial small subunit ribosomal RNA", at positions 83 to 334 of the family's 1533-position model. The record is from RNAcentral.